Oreochromis aureus is the source of this 56-nucleotide microRNA precursor. NCBI's taxonomy places the organism in Eukaryota, Metazoa, Chordata, Actinopteri, Cichliformes, Cichlidae. The record is from Ensembl.
UGACUUCUUUGUGGGCAGGCACCACCAUGCAUGAGCCUGCCCACGCAGUAGUCAUG